UUGCCACAAACAACAACAAUUCAACGUAGAUAACAAGGUAUGAUUACUUUGUCGCAAUAUCAAGACUACUUGUCCUUAUAAUAAAUUGGACUAUCAUAGACUUAGAUCUUUUUCUCUUAAAAAAUAAGUCAAUCCCAUUACUUAUUCAUUAUAUCUACUAGAUUUUAUGAAGAUCCACCCUAUAUUUUAUGUAUCUCUUUUUAAGAUACAUAAGACAAUAAAUAUCUUGAAAAGAAUAAAAAUGCCACUUCUUCCUAUAGAAUUAGAUAAUAAUCAAGAAUUUGA
RNAcentral lists this long non-coding RNA (285 nucleotides) under Physcomitrium patens. RNAcentral's name for it is "long non-coding RNA (PPAT_LNC002515)". The record is from RNAcentral. Lineage: Eukaryota; Viridiplantae; Streptophyta; Bryopsida; Funariales; Funariaceae.